GACGAACGCUGGCGGCGUGCUUAACACAUGCAAGUCGAACGGAAAGGCCCUACUUUUGUGGGGUGCUCGAGUGGCGAACGGGUGAGUAACACGUGAGUAACCUGCCCUUGACUUUGGGAUAACUUCAGGAAACUGGGGCUAAUACCGGAUAGGAGCUCCUGCUGCAUGGUGGGGGUUGGAAAGUUUCGGCGGUUGGGGAUGGACUCGCGGCUUAUCAGCUUGUUGGUGGGGUCGUGGCUUACCAAGGCUUUGACGGGUAGCCGGCCUGAGAGGGUGACCGGCCACAUUGGGACUGAGAUACGGCCCAGACUCCUACGGGAGGCAGCAGUGGGGAAUAUUGCACAAUGGGCUGAAGCCUGAUGCAGCAACGCCGCGUGCGGGAUGACGGCCUUCGAGUUGUAAACCGCUUUCGCCUGUGACGAAGCGUGAGUGACGGUAAUGGGUAAAGAAGCACCGGCUAACUACGUG
This 468-nucleotide ribosomal RNA is filed under the name uncultured bacterium. Its description in RNAcentral is "partial 16S ribosomal RNA". It matches the Rfam family "Bacterial small subunit ribosomal RNA", at positions 28 to 507 of the family's 1533-position model. The record is from RNAcentral.